This 910-nucleotide ribosomal RNA is filed under the name uncultured bacterium. RNAcentral's name for it is "bacterial SSU rRNA". It matches the Rfam family "Bacterial small subunit ribosomal RNA", at positions 21 to 921 of the family's 1533-position model. The record is from RNAcentral.
GGCUCAGGAUGAACGCUAGCUACAGGCUUAACACAUGCAAGUCGAGGGGAAACGACAUAGUUAGCUUGCUAACUUUGGGCGUCGACCGGCGCACGGGUGAGUAACGCGUAUCCAACCUGCCCACCACUUGGGAAUAACCUUGCGAAAGUAAGACUAAUGCCCAAUGACGUUGAAAGAAGACAUCUGAUUUCAACCAAAGAUUCAUCGGUGAUGGAUGGGGAUGCGUCCGAUUAGCUUGUUGGCGGGGUAACGGCCCACCAAGGCGACGAUCGGUAGGGGUUCUGAGAGGAAGGUCCCCCACAUUGGAACUGAGACACGGUCCAAACUCCUACGGGAGGCAGCAGUGAGGAAUAUUGGUCAAUGGGCGAGAGCCUGAACCAGCCAAGUAGCGUGCAGGAUGACGGCCCUAUGGGUUGUAAACUGCUUUUAUAAGGGAAUAAAGUGGGGCUCGUGAGCUCCUUUGCAUGUACCUUAUGAAUAAGGACCGGCUAAUUCCGUGCCAGCAGCCGCGGUAAUACGGAAGGUCCGGGCGUUAUCCGGAUUUAUUGGGUUUAAAGGGAGCGUAGGCCGCAGGUUAAGCGUGUUGUGAAAUGUAGGGGCUCAACCUCUGCACUGCAGCGCGAACUGGCUUGCUUGAGUACGCACAACGUGGGCGGAAUUCGUGGUGUAGCGGUGAAAUGCUUAGAUAUCACGAAGAACUCCGAUUGCGAAGGCAGCUCACGGGAGCGCAACUGACGCUGAAGCUCGAAAGUGCGGGUAUCGAACAGGAUUAGAUACCCUGGUAGUCCGCACGGUAAACGAUGGAUGCCCGCUGUUGGUCUGAAUAGGUCAGCGGCCAAGCGAAAGCAUUAAGCAUCCCACCUGGGGAGUACGCCGGCAACGGUGAAACUCAAAGGAAUUGACGGAAGGG